Molecule: ribosomal RNA, 336 nt
Filed under: uncultured Pseudomonas sp.
Lineage: Bacteria; Pseudomonadati; Pseudomonadota; Gammaproteobacteria; Pseudomonadales; Pseudomonadaceae
Description: bacterial SSU rRNA
Rfam family: Bacterial small subunit ribosomal RNA
Source: RNAcentral
AAGUCGAGCGGAUGACGGGAGCUUGCUCCUUGAUUCAGCGGCGGACGGGUGAGUAAUGCCUAUGAAUCUGUCUGGUAGUGGGGGACAACGUUUCGAAAGGAACGCUAAUACCGCAUACGUCCUACGGGAGAAAGCAGGGGACCUUCGGGCCUUGCGCUAUCAGAUGAGCCUAGGUCGGAUUAGCUAGUUGGUGGGGUAAUGGCUCACCAAGGCGACGAUCCGUAACCGGUCUGAGAGGAUGAUCAGUCACACUGGAACUGAGACACGGUCCACACUCCUACGGGAGGCAGCAGUGGGGAAUAUUGGACAAUGGGCGAAAGCCUGAUCCAGCCAUGC